UGAUCCAGCCAUGCCGCGUGUGUGAAGAAGGCCUUAUGGUUGUAAAGCACUUUAAGCGAGGAGGAGGCUACUGAAGUUAAUACCUUCAGAUAGUGGACGUUACUCGCAGAAUAAGCACCGGCUAACUCUGUGCCAGCAGCCGCGGUAAUACAGAGGGUGCAAGCGUUAAUCGGAUUUACUGGGCGUAAAGCGCGCGUAGGCGGCUAAUUAAGUCAAAUGUGAAAUCCCCGAGCUUAACUUGGGAAUUGCAUUCGAUACUGGUUAGCUAGAGUGUGGGAGAGGAUGGUAGAAUUCCAGGUGUAGCGGUGAAAUGCGUAGAGAUCUGGAGGAAUACCGAUGGCGAAGGCAGCCAUCUGGCCUAACACUGACGCUGAGGUGCGAAAGCAUGGGGAGCAAACAGGAUUAGAUACCCUGGUAGUCCAUGCCGUAAACGAUGUCUACUAGCCGUUGGGGCCUUUGAGGCUUUAGUGGCGCAGCUAACGCGAUAAGUAGACCGCCUGGGGAGUACGGUCGCAAGACUAAAACUCAAAGGAAUUGACGA
Molecule: ribosomal RNA, 541 nt
Filed under: uncultured Acinetobacter sp.
Lineage: Bacteria; Pseudomonadati; Pseudomonadota; Gammaproteobacteria; Moraxellales; Moraxellaceae
Description: bacterial SSU rRNA
Rfam family: Bacterial small subunit ribosomal RNA
Source: RNAcentral